This 797-nucleotide ribosomal RNA is filed under the name uncultured bacterium. Its description in RNAcentral is "bacterial SSU rRNA". It matches the Rfam family "Bacterial small subunit ribosomal RNA", at positions 81 to 895 of the family's 1533-position model. The record is from RNAcentral.
UGUAGCAAUACACAGUGGCGAACGGGUGAGUAAUGAAUCGCUAAUGUACCCCGGACUCUGGGAUAGCUAUCCGAAAGGGUAGGUAAUACCAGAUGAUAUGCAGCUAUCGCAUGAUAGUUGCCUCAAAGGUCCGCCGGUCUGGGAGCAGGCGAUUUCGUAUCAGCUAGUUGGUGAGGUAACGGCUCACCAAGGCUAUGACGCGUAGCCGGACUGAGAGGUUGGCCGGCCACAUUGGGACUGAGACACUGCCCAGACUCCUACGGGGGGCUGCAGUAACGAAUCUUCCGCAAUGCACGAAAGUGUGACGGAGCGACGCCGCGUGUAGGAUGAAGCCCUUCGGGGUGUAAACUACUGUCAGGGGUUAGAAAGUUCUGAUCAACCCCAGAGGAAGGCACGGCUAACUCUGUGCCAGCAGCCGCGGUAAGACAGAGGUGCCAAGCGUUAGGCGGAAUCACUGGGCUUAAAGCGUGUGUAGGCGGAUGCCUAAGUAUCUUGUGAAAUCCCACGGCUCAACCGUGGAACUGCUUGAUAUACUGUGUGUCUUGAGCCAUCUAGGGGCUACCGGAACAAAUGGUGGAGCGGUGAAAUGCGUAGAUAUCAUUUGGAACGCCAAUGGUGAAAACAGGUAGCUGGGGAUGUGCUGACGCUGAGACACGAAAGCCAGGGGAGCAAACGGGAUUAGAUACCCCGGUAGUCCUGGCCCUAAACGAUGUCCACUAGAUCGUAGCAGCUCUGACGUUGUUAUGGUCGAAGCAAAAGUGCUAAGUGGACCGCCUGGGAAGUACGGUCGCAAGGCU